This 478-nucleotide ribosomal RNA is filed under the name uncultured organism. RNAcentral's name for it is "partial 16S ribosomal RNA". It matches the Rfam family "Bacterial small subunit ribosomal RNA", at positions 331 to 800 of the family's 1533-position model. The record is from RNAcentral.
GUACACUCCUACGGGAGGCAGCAGUGGGGAAUUUUGGACAAUGGGCGCAAGCCUGAUCCAGCCAUGCCGCGUGCGGGAAGAAGGCCUUCGGGUUGUAAACCGCUUUUGUCGGGGAAGAAAAGGUUCUGGCUAAUACCUGGGACUCAUGACGGUACCUGAAGAAUAAGCACCGGCUAACUACGUGCCCGCAGCCGCGGUAAUACGUAGGGUGCAAGCGUUAAUCGGAAUUACUGGGCGUAAAGCGUGCGCAGGCGGUUAUGCAAGACAGAGGUGAAAUCCCCGGGCUCAACCUGGGAACUGCCUUUGUGACUGCAUGGCUAGAGUACGGUAGAGGGGGAUGGAAUUCCGCGUGUAGCAGUGAAAUGCGUAGAUAUGCGGAGGAACACCGAUGGCGAAGGCAAUCCCCUGGACCUGUACUGACGCUCAUGCACGAAAGCGUGGGGAGCAAACAGGAUUAGAUACCCCUGUAGUCCCAUGA